RNAcentral lists this ribosomal RNA (497 nucleotides) under uncultured bacterium. Its description in RNAcentral is "partial 16S ribosomal RNA". It matches the Rfam family "Bacterial small subunit ribosomal RNA", at positions 28 to 507 of the family's 1533-position model. The record is from RNAcentral.
GAUGAACGCUGGCGGCGUGCCUAAUACAUGCAAGUCGAGCGAACAGAUGAGGAGCUUGCUCCUCUGACGUUAGCGGCGGACGGGUGAGUAACACGUGGAUAACCUACCUAUAAGACUGGGAUAACUUCGGGAAACCGGAGCUAAUACCGGAUAAUAUAUUGAACCGCAUGGUUCAAUAGUGAAAGACGGUUUUGCGGUCACUUAUAGAUGGAUCCGCGCCGCAUUAGCUAGUUGGUAAGGUAACGGCUUACCAAGGCAACGAUGCGUAGCCGACCUGAGAGGGUGAUCGGCCACACUGGAACUGAGACACGGUCCAGACUCCUACGGGAGGCAGCAGUAGGGAAUCUUCCGCAGUGGGCGAAAGCCUGACGGAGCAACGCCGCGUGAGUGAUGAAGGUCUUCGGAUCGUAAAACUCUGUUAUUAGGGAAGAACAAAUGUGUAAGUAACUAUGCACGUCUUGACGGUACCUAAUCAGAAAGCCACGGCUAACUACGUG